This 253-nucleotide ribosomal RNA is filed under the name uncultured bacterium. RNAcentral's name for it is "partial 16S ribosomal RNA". It matches the Rfam family "Bacterial small subunit ribosomal RNA", at positions 524 to 776 of the family's 1533-position model. The record is from RNAcentral.
UACGUAGGUGGCGAGCGUUGUCCGGAAUUACUGGGUGUAAAGGGCGUGUAGGCGGGACUGUAAGUCAGAUGUGAAAUUCCCCGGCUCAACUGGGGCCCUACAUCUGAAACUAUGGUUCUUGAGUGCUGGAGAGGGAAGCGGAAUUCCAAGUGUAGCGGUGAAAUGCGUAGAUAUUUGGAGGAAAACCAGUGGCGAAGGCGGCUUUCUGGACAGUAACUGACGCUGAGGCGCGAAAGCGUGGGGAGCAAACAGG